Molecule: ribosomal RNA, 465 nt
Filed under: uncultured bacterium
Lineage: Bacteria
Description: partial 16S ribosomal RNA
Rfam family: Bacterial small subunit ribosomal RNA
Source: RNAcentral
CCUACGGGUGGCAGCAGUGGGGAAUAUUGCGCAAUGGACGGAAGAGUGACGCAGCGACGCCGCGUGAAUGACGAAGGCCUUCGGGUCGUAAAGUUCUUUUGUUAGGGAAGAAAAUGCCUAAAAGUAACUGUGUAUGUAUUGACGGUACCUGUAUAAGCAGCCACGGCUAACUCCGUGCCAGCAGCCGCGGUAAUACGGAGGGGGCUAGCGUUGUUCGGUGUGACGGGGCGUAAAGAGGACGUAGGCGGUGUUGUAAGUCAGCAGUCAAAGGCCAGGGCUCAACAUGAGAAGGGCAAGUGAUACGGGGAUACUAGAGUGUCGGAGAGGAUAGAGGAAUGCGUGGUGUAGCGGUGAAAGGCGUAGAUAUCAGGAGGAAUACCGGUGGCGAAGGCGGCUCUCUGGUUGGCAACUGACGCUGAGGCGCGAAAGCGUGGGUAGCAAACAGGAUUAGAUACCCUGGUAGUC